GGUGGCGGACGGCUCAGUAACACGUAGUGAACCUGCCCUGGGGACGUGGACAACCAUGGGAAACUGUGGCUAAACCGCGAUAGGUCAUUGUUUCUGGAAUGGGCAAUGGCUCAAACCUACAUGGCCCCAGGAUGGCACUGCGGCCGAUCAGGUUGUUGGUGAGGUAAUGGCCCACCAAGCCUGUAACCGGUACGGGCUCUGAGAGGAGGAGCCUGGAGAUGGGCACUGAGACAAGGGCCCAGGUCCUAUGGGACGCAGCAGGCGCGAAACCUUCGCAAUAGGCGAAAGCCUGACGAGGUUAUUCCGAGUGUUCCCUGCUAAAGGGAUCUUUUGCCAGCUCUAAAAAUGCUGGUGAAUAAGGGGUGGGCAAGCCUGGUGUCAGCCGCCGCGGUAAUACCAGCACCCCGAGUGGUCGGGAUGAUUAUUUGGCCUAAAGCAUCCGUAGCCGGCGCAUCAAGUCUUCCGUUAAAUCCACCUGCUCAACAGAUGGGCUGCGGGAGAUACUGCUGCGCUAGGAGGCGGGAGAGGCGAGGGGUAUUCCAUGGGUAGGGGUAAAAUCCUCUGAUCCAUGGAGAACCACCAGUGGCGAAGGCGUCUCGCCAGAACGCGCUCGACGGUGAGGGAUGAAAGCUGGGGGAGCAAACCGGAUUAGAUACCCGGGUAGUCCCAGCUGUAAACGAUGUAGGCUCGGUGAUGGACUGGAUUCGAUCCAGCCCAGUGCCGCAGGGAAGCCGUUAAGCC
Molecule: ribosomal RNA, 741 nt
Filed under: uncultured archaeon
Lineage: Archaea
Description: bacterial SSU rRNA
Rfam family: Archaeal small subunit ribosomal RNA
Source: RNAcentral